This 43-nucleotide small RNA is filed under the name Arabidopsis thaliana (thale cress). Its description in RNAcentral is "ATSL096050". Lineage: Eukaryota; Viridiplantae; Streptophyta; Magnoliopsida; Brassicales; Brassicaceae. The record is from RNAcentral.
AACAUCUAAGGGCGGUGCUGGAACGGCUAAGAGAACAUGAGCU